This 497-nucleotide ribosomal RNA is filed under the name uncultured bacterium. RNAcentral's name for it is "partial 16S ribosomal RNA". It matches the Rfam family "Bacterial small subunit ribosomal RNA", at positions 28 to 507 of the family's 1533-position model. The record is from RNAcentral.
GAUGAACGCUGGCGGCGUGCCCUAUACAUGCAAGUCGAGCGAACGGACGAGAAGCUUGCUUCUCUGAUGUUAGCGGCGGACGGGUGAGUAACACGUGGAUAACCUACCUAUAAGACUGGGGUAACUUCGGGAAACCGGGGCUAAUACCGGAUAAUAUUUUGAACCGCAUGGUUCAAAAGUGAAAGACGGUCUUGCUGUCACUUAUAGAUGGAUCCGCGCUGCCUUAGCUAGUUGGUAAGGUAAAGGCUUACCAAGGCAACGAUGCAUAGCCGACCUGAGAGGGUGAUCGGCCACACUGGAACUGAGACACGGUCCAGACUCCUACGGGAGGCAGCAGUAGGGAAUCUUCCGCAAUGGGCGAAAGCCUGACGGAGCAACGCCGCGUGAGUGAUGAAGGUCUUCGGAUCGUAAAACUCUGUUAUUAGGGAAGAACAUAUGUGUAAGUAACUGUGCACAUCUUGACGGUACCUAAUCAGAAAGCCACGGCUAACUACGUG